This 400-nucleotide ribosomal RNA is filed under the name uncultured bacterium. Its description in RNAcentral is "bacterial SSU rRNA". It matches the Rfam family "Bacterial small subunit ribosomal RNA", at positions 28 to 414 of the family's 1533-position model. The record is from RNAcentral.
GAUGAACGCUAGCGGCAAGCUUAAUUACAUGCAAGUCGAGGGGCGAGCAUGACUGUAGUAAUACAGUUGAUGGCGACCGGCAAACGGGUGCGGAAACACGUACAGAACCUCCCUUCGAGCGGGGAAGUAGCCCAGAGAAAUUUGGAUUAAUACCCCAUAGUAUAUUGAUGAGGCAUCUCAUUAAUAUUAAAGAUUUAUCACUUGAAGAUGGCUGUGCGGCUGAUUAGAUAGUUGGCGGGGUAACGGCCCACCAAGUCUGCGAUCAGUAACUGGUGUGAGAGCACGACCAGUCACACGGGCACUGAGACACGGGCCCGACUCCUACGGGAGGCAGCAGUAAGGAAUAUUGGUCAAAUGGACGAAAAGUCUGAACCAAGCUAUGCCGCGUGGAGGAUGAAGG